This 253-nucleotide ribosomal RNA is filed under the name uncultured bacterium. RNAcentral's name for it is "partial 16S ribosomal RNA". It matches the Rfam family "Bacterial small subunit ribosomal RNA", at positions 524 to 776 of the family's 1533-position model. The record is from RNAcentral.
UACAGAGGAUGCAAGCGUUAUCCGGAUUAAUUGGGCGUAAAGCGUCUGUAGGUGGUUCUUCAAGUCUUGUGCUAAAAAUUAGAGCUUAACUUUGAUUUGACAUGAGAAACUGGAGUGCUUGAAUUAGGUAGAAGUAGUUGGAAUUCUCGAUGUAGUGGUGAAAUACGUAGAGUUCGCGAAGAAUACCGGUUGCGGAGGCGUACUACUGGACUGUGAUUGACACUAAGAGACGAAAGCUAGGGUAGCAAAUGGG